GAUGAACGCUAACUACAGGCUUAACACAUGCAAGUCGAGGGGUAACGAGAGGAAAGCUUGCUUUCCUUGUCGACGACAGGCGCACGGGUGAGUAACGCGUAUCCAACCUGCCCCCAACUAGGGAAUAACCUUGCGAAAGUAAGACUAAUACCCUAUAAUUUCCUCAGAUGACAUCUGACGAGGAAUAAAGAUUUAUCGGUUGUGGAUGGGGAUGCGUCUGAUUAGCUUGUUGGCGGGGUAACGGCACGCCAAGGCAACGAUCAGUAGGGGUUCUGAGAGGAAGGGCCCCCACAUUGGAACGGAGACACGGUCCCAACUCCUACGGGAGGCAGCAGUGAGGGAUAUUGGUCAAUGGGCGGAAGCCUGAACCAGCCAAGUAGCGAGCAGGAUGACGGCCCUAUGGGUUGUAAACUGCUUUUAUACAGGAAUAAAGUUAGCCACGUGUGGUUAUUUGUAGGUACUGUAUGAAUAAGGACCGGCUAAUUCCGUGCCAGCCGCCGCAGUAA
Molecule: ribosomal RNA, 506 nt
Filed under: uncultured bacterium
Lineage: Bacteria
Description: partial 16S ribosomal RNA
Rfam family: Bacterial small subunit ribosomal RNA
Source: RNAcentral